GACGAACCGUGCGAACGUUGUUCGGAAUCACUGGGCUUAAAGGGCGCGUAGGCGGGUCAGCCAGUCCGGGGUGAAAUCCUUCGGCUUAACCGGAGAACUGCCUCGGAGACGACUGAUCUGGAGGGAGGUAGGGGCGGCCGGAACUUCCGGUGGAGCGGUGAAAUGCGUUGAUAUCGGAAGGAACGCCGGUGGCGAAAGCGGGCCGCUGGACCUCUACUGACGCUGAGGCGCGAAAGCCAGGGGAGCAAAC
RNAcentral lists this ribosomal RNA (250 nucleotides) under uncultured bacterium. RNAcentral's name for it is "partial 16S ribosomal RNA". It matches the Rfam family "Bacterial small subunit ribosomal RNA", at positions 524 to 773 of the family's 1533-position model. The record is from RNAcentral.